UACAGAGGUGCCAAGCGUUAGGCGGAAUCACUGGGCUUAAAGCGCGCGUAGGCGGAUGUUUAAGUGUCUUGUGAAAUCCCACGGCUCAACCGUGGAACUGCUGGGCAUACUGGACAUCUCGAGGCACUCAGGGGCGAGCGGAACAAGUGGUGGAGCGGUGAAAUGCGUAGAUAUCACUUGGAACGCCAAUGGUGAAGACAGCUCGCUGGGGGUGUCCUGACGCUGAGGUGCGAAAGCCAGGGGAGCGAACGGG
Molecule: ribosomal RNA, 253 nt
Filed under: uncultured bacterium
Lineage: Bacteria
Description: partial 16S ribosomal RNA
Rfam family: Bacterial small subunit ribosomal RNA
Source: RNAcentral